This 273-nucleotide long non-coding RNA is filed under the name Bos taurus (domestic cattle). RNAcentral describes it as "long non-coding RNA NONBTAT014317". Lineage: Eukaryota; Metazoa; Chordata; Mammalia; Artiodactyla; Bovidae. The record is from RNAcentral.
UGGGGGGAGAGGGAAAGAAAAGUGACAGACAGACAUAACUACUGUGUAUUCAGAGAAGAAAUUUUUGGUUAAUUGUUAUCUGAAGCAGUGCUAAACUUCUUAGAGAAACCCUCCAAAAAAGGUUAGGGUUUGCACCUGGCUUCUCUCAAGACUUGCAUACUACUUGGCAUGGUGGUUAAGAACAUCACAUAGUAUGGUAAAGAGGUGUACAAUGACAGGGACACUCCCACACAGAAGAGAACCAUUCGUUUUGAGACAAUACGUUUGCAUAUU